This 66-nucleotide transfer RNA is filed under the name Wohlfahrtia magnifica. RNAcentral's name for it is "tRNA-Glu". The record is from RNAcentral. Lineage: Eukaryota; Metazoa; Arthropoda; Insecta; Diptera; Sarcophagidae.
AUUUAUAUAGUUUAAUAAAAACAUUACAUUUUCAUUGUAAAAUUAAAAAAAAUUUUUUUAUAAAUU